GAUGAACGCUGGCGGCGUGCCUAAUACAUGCAAGUAGAACGAACAGAUUAUACCGUAGCUUGCUACACCAUAGACUGUGAGUUGCGAACGGGUGAGUAACGCGUAGGUAACCUGCCUGGUAGCGGGGGAUAAAUCUGGGAAUCGAUAGCUAAUACCGCAUAAUAUUCAUUAUUGCAUGAUAAUUAAUUGAAAGGUGCAAUUGUACCACUACCAGCUGGACGUGCGUUGUAUUUGGUAGUAGGAGAGGUCACGGCGCACCUAGGCGAUGACACAUAGCCGACCUGGGAGGGUGGUCCGCCACACUGGGACUGGGACACGGCCCAGACUCCUUCGGGGGGCAGCAGUAAGGGAUCUUCGGCCAUUGGCGGAAAGCUUACCGGGCCACGCCGCGUGAGUGGAGGAAGUUCUCGGGUCGGAAAGCUCUUUUGUUAGGGGAGAACGGGUUUGGGAAUGGAAUGUUCACACUGUGACGGUAUCUAACCAGAAAGCGACGGCUAACUACGUG
This 505-nucleotide ribosomal RNA is filed under the name uncultured bacterium. Its description in RNAcentral is "partial 16S ribosomal RNA". It matches the Rfam family "Bacterial small subunit ribosomal RNA", at positions 28 to 507 of the family's 1533-position model. The record is from RNAcentral.